GCCAGGCAUGGGGGUGCAUGCCUGUAAUCCCAGCAGCUCAGGAGGCUGAGGCAGGAGUAUUGCAAGUUCAAAACAAGCUUCAGCAAAAGCGAGGUACUAAGCAACUCGGUGAGACCCUGUCUCUA
RNAcentral lists this small RNA (125 nucleotides) under Marmota monax (woodchuck). Lineage: Eukaryota; Metazoa; Chordata; Mammalia; Rodentia; Sciuridae. The record is from RNAcentral.